UUGUGAUUUACUCGAGAAAAUGGCUAAGUUGUGAAUACUUGCUUUUGCUUUAAAGACCUGUAUGGAUGAGCUGGGCGGGGCUGUUAUUUGUAGUAGGAGUCGUGCAAAUGGCAGGGCUCAGUGGCUUUACAGAUGAUUUUGCACUCAUCCUUCAGUUUUCCCGGAUUCCUUCCUUUUACAGCCGCGGUGCGGGGAGGAGUCAUGGCAGUGCCCUUUGUGGAGGACUGGGACUUGGUGCAAACCCUGGGAGAAGGUGCCUAUGGAGAAGUUCAACUUGCUGUGAAUAGAAUAACUGAAGAAGCAGUUGCAGUGAAGAUUGUAGAUAUGAAGCGUGCCAUAGACUGUCCAGAAAAUAUUAAAAAAGAGAUCUGUAUCAAUAAAAUGCUAAAUCAUGAGAACGUGGUGAAAUUCUAGGGUCAUAGGCGAGAAGGCAAUAUCCAGUAUCUGUUUCCGGAGUACUGUAGUGGGGAGAGCUUUUUGACAGAAUAGCACCAGACAUAGGCAUGCCUGAACAGGAUGCUCAGAGAUUCUUCCAUCAACUCAUGGCAGGGGUGGUUUAUCUACAUGGUAUUGGAAUAACUCACAGGGAUAUUAAACCAGAAAAUCUCCUAUUGGAUGAAAGGGAUAACCUCAAAAUCUCUGACUUUGGGUUGGCAACAGUGUUUUGACAUAAUAAUCGGGAACGUUUGUUGAACAAGAUGUGUGGUACUUUACCUUAUGUUGCUCCAGAACUUCUGAAGAGAAAAGAAUUUCAUGCAGAACCAUUUGAUGUUUGGUCCUGUGGAAUAGUGCUUACUGCAAUGCUGGCUGGAGAAUUGCCAUGGGACCAGCCCAGUGAUAGUUGUCAGGAAUAUUCUGAUUGGAAAGAAAAAAAAACAUACCUCAACCCUUGGGAAAAAAUCGAUUCUGCUCCUCUAGCUCUGCUGCAUAAAAUCCUAGUUGAGAAUCCAUCAGCAAGAAUUACCAUCCCAGAUAUCAAAAAAGAUAGAUGGUACAAUAAACCGCUCAAGAAAGGGGCAAAGAGGCCCCAAGUCACUUCAGGUGGUGUGUCAGAGUCUCCCAGUGGAUUCUCCAAGCACAUUCAAUCCAAUUUGGACUUCUCUCCAUCUAAUAGUUCUAGUGAAGAAAAUGUGAAGUACUCCAGUUCCCAGCCAGAACCACGGACAAGUCUGUCCUUAUGGGAUGCCAGUCCCUCAUAUAUUGAUAAACUAGUGCAAGGAAUCAGUUUUUCCCAACCCACGUGUCCUGAUCAUAUGCUUCUGAAUAGUCAGUUACUUGGCACCCCAGGAUCCUCACAGAACCCCUGGCAGCGCCUGGUCAAAAGAAUGACACGAUUCUUUACCAAAUUGGAUGCAGACAGAUCUUAUCAGUGCUUGAAAGAGACUUGUGAGAAGUUGGGCUAUCAAUGGAAGAAGAGUUGUAUGAAUCAGGUUACUGUAUCAACAACUGAUAGGAGAAACAAUAAACUCAUUUUCAAAGUGAAUUUGGUAGAAAUGGAUGAGAAGAUAUUGGUUGACUUCCGGCUUUCUAAGGGUGAUGGUUUGGAGUUCAAGAGACACUUCCUGAAGAUUAAAGGGAAGCUGAGUGAUGUGGUGAGCAGUCAGAAGGUCUGGCUUCCUGGCACAUGAUUAAUCCAUUAGGGGAUUCCUGGUGAAUAUAGUGCUGCUAUGUUGGCAUUAUUCUUCCUAGAGAAGAUUAUCUUAUUCUGCAAACUGCAAACGAUGGUUCCUGAAGAGUUCACGACCCUCUUUAUCCAAACACCUUCUAAUUCUUUUUGUAUGUUCUACAUACAAAUAAUACCUGUAUUUUAAUUGUAAGUAAAACU
Molecule: RNA transcript, 1825 nt
Organism: Nycticebus coucang (slow loris)
Lineage: Eukaryota; Metazoa; Chordata; Mammalia; Primates; Lorisidae
Gene name: serine/threonine-protein kinase Chk1-like
Exons: 1
Source: RefSeq, a predicted model, not a curated record